CGCUCCGGCUUGGCCCCCGCGGUGGGUGGGCGGGCGCCCGGCCGCUGCUCCGCCCGCGCGCAAGGGAGAGCUAUUUCGGGAGCGCCGCCGGGCGAGCCAAAGAUAGCGCGGGCGGGAAGUAUUUAUAGCGCGGCGCCUCCGCCGCCGCCGCCGCCGCUUUUCCGGGGCGGGGAGAGGAAAAUGCCGAGCCGGAGCCUCUGCCCCCGGGGCGAGAGCCGGAGCAGGGAUUCCCCGCGCGGGCGGGGGAGGCGGAGACGCCGGGGCUGCCCCGGGCCAGCCUGACGCAAUGGCGAGCGGACGGGGAUCUCCCUGCCGGGGCGGAGCCGCCAAGCUGGGUGCCGCUCCUUGCCCGGAGGGGGCCGCUGCCCUCUCGCCAAGGGAAAGGGACUUGCAGCCGCCGAGUCCAGAAAGCCGGAGCGGGACCAAACAACCUCCUGCACCCCUCCGGGCACUUGCUCGGGCGCAUCUGGGGGCAGCGCUGGAACGGCAGAUCCGCGAUCGGUGGAGACGCGGGGGCGGACAUGAGGAUGUGCCGUGCACGUGCACGCAGAAGAAAGCCUCCCUGAAGUCAUAGAGGAUUGGCUCCCUAAUAAAUACCCGUAGAAUUGCAGCCCGACCCUACCUGUGUUUACUCGGAAGUAAGCCCCACUGACUUCUAUUGGAUUUGCUAGCAGGGUUGAGCGCUGAUACUGAAAAUCCAUGCUGAGCCCUGACACAAAUUAAGGCCAAGCAACAAUGAGGAAAUGUAACAGGGAAGAGCAACUCAAAGGCAACUUGGAGGGCCCCUCUGUGAACUGGGUGUCUAUAUAUUGGAUUCAUUGCUUUUUCUCAAACGGGACAGUCAAGUAUCUGGGAAGCUGCCUGAUUCAGCGGACAACUGCUUAGAAGCCACUUUGGCAAGGCCAUAGUCAUGGUUAAGUGAAGUCAACUGAAUUGCAUCCCACCAUUACAAUGAGAAAUUGGGAGGGGAGUUGAUGGUUCAACAGAUCGGCAGUGUGGAAGCAGUAAGUAUGAAGGUGGUUUCUGCUGAACUUGGGGUAGAAAAGAGAGGAAAUGGGUUAUUUUGAAUUAGUUAAAUGACAUGUAUUGUGCAUUUUUCUUCCAUAGACUUUGCUGGGGUGGAUUUUCCAGAAUGAUUUAUCCAAUUAUUUUGGGGUGUAUCCAGCUAGGUUCUGCUCAAGAGUAGAUGUAUGGAAAUUAAUGGACCUAAGUUAGUCGUGUCAUUAAUUUUGGUGGGUCUGCUUUGAGUAGGUUUAACAUUGGAUACAAUCCAAUGCAUUUUGGGGAAAUGGGUCAUUGUUUUAGGUCAGUUGGUUGUACUUGUACCCAUGAGUUGUGUUUGUAAUUUUUAUUUAAAAGGCACUUUGUUGUCCAGUGUAAUCAAUGGACUUGUUGGGGCUACUGUUGCUAGGCAGAACUUCUGGCCAGUCUGGGACAAUAGAGGCUUGCUGUUACUAGGCAGGAUUCUCACAUCCCAAACUUCAGCCUUCAGUUUGCAGUUCAGGUAGAAGUUAGGUAUGAAAGGAGGUGGGGAAAGCAAAUCACAGGAGAUAAAUAGAAAUAGUUUGAGAAGACUGGGGAGAGGGAAAGGAAAAUAAUAUCACAGAUGCGCAGCAACUGGAUUCCAUUUUUUAUUGAAAAAAAUAUUUUUAUUGCUUUUAUAUAUAAUAAACUAUAGCAAAACAUAAGAAGCAUGAAGCGGGGACCAGGUGUACAAGCAAAAAACAGGAUGUAUACCAAAUUUUCACAUAUUAAUGUCCAAAAUGUUUUUUUCUGCUAUAUAGGGAGUUAGUUACAUGUAUAUAAAUCCAAAGCACUAUCAACAACAAAGUAAGGAGACUUUCAGAUUUCUGUGUCUAGAAGCCCAUAUGUGGAGGCAAGCUGGAGAAAGGUCCACCCCUCCUUGAUUUGUUUAAGGAACAAACCUUUGCCUUGUGGCAUAAAAUGCAUCAGGUGUCUUUAGUCCUUUUAGUGUUCUCACUUGGUGGGUUAUCUUGCCCAGAGUUGCUGUUUUCGACAUAUUUCUAUGCCACAAUGUUAAUGUCCAAGUUCGUUGAGGUUUUCCGUAUUUGGGCAGUUGAUGCAUGGGCUGCAGCAUUGAGAAAGAUGUGCAAUUCUUUAAAUUUAAUGUCAGUCUUAGGACCCACAAUUAUACGUAAUAGUAGCCAUUGAGGAGUACAUUCAUUGUAUUCCUUUAGUACCGAUAUAUUAGCUGUUUCCCAGAACAGAGCUACUAGGCAAUACCCCGUUCCUACAAUUUUGCCAACAAGCCAGUGAAAUCUCUGAUGUUACGUGAGGACGUGGCACAGGUGUCCUGCCCUACCUGUGCCAAAGCUUAAUUGUACUCUCUCGCUCUAAUGUAUGCUGGCAGAGGGUCAUAUCCAGCUCUGCUGUUCUGCUAUCUCAGGAGACUUCAGCUUGCAAAGUGAGACUUUCCCCAUCCCUCCUCUCCCUAGCAGCCUCAAAAUCAGCUCCAGAGGGCUGGAACAUCACCUGGGGAAGAUUUUGAGGGUGUAAAAGGAGAGAAGAGGAAACUUCAUUGUGUGAGUGGAAAUUAGUGCAUGCCGUGUUGGAUGCAACCCACAGGCUGGAAAGUUUUGAAUUCCCACAUCUUAACUCUGAUGACUACUAGCUGUUGUGAUUAAUAGGUAAAAGGUAAAGGACCUUUGGAUGGUUAAGUAAAGUCAAAGGUGACUGAGGUUGCGGUGCUCAUCUCGCUUUCAGGCCGAGGGAGACGGUGUUUAUCCACAGACAGCUUUCUGGGUCAUGUGGCCAGC
This is a non-coding RNA of Podarcis muralis (Common wall lizard), 2777 nucleotides long. The record is from RefSeq and is a predicted model, not a curated record. NCBI's taxonomy places the organism in Eukaryota, Metazoa, Chordata, Lepidosauria, Squamata, Lacertidae.